UCGAUUAGCAUUAUUCUUAAAGUAAUCCUAUUACUCCAAACCUAAACGAUUACUACAUGUCCCUUCCUAAUGUUAACAGCCUAUUAACUCUAGUGUUACAAAUUUUACUAAAGUACACAGACUACUACACACUGGAAAUAGAUAGAGUCCUAAUUACUUUGAGAUAGUCUUAAUUACAUUCCACAAUCUCAUAUAAAUCAAACCAGUCCAAAAAAGUGAGCUAAAUACAAUGGAAUACGAAUAAUUGAGUUAUACAUUUAAAAGUUAACAACAAUUCCAAACUCAAACGAACAACAGUCAUUCUUCAUUCAUUGGGCUCAACAGAUGAUUUAUACACGUGAAUCAACCUCCGGAUCAAGGGACAAUGAAAAGUGUACCUGGAAUUCAAAUUUAAAUAGAGAAAGAAAUGGUCAGCAGCGGCAAUACAGCAGUAGUCACAACAACAACGGAAUAGCAACGAUCAAUAGUGAUACCACAGCAAAAGACACUAACAACUAUUUCAGUAGUGAUACCACAACUAACAACUAUUUCAGCUUGAAAGACACUAACAAAUAGACCCCAAGAGAUGACUGAACCAACCAAAUAUAGCUCAAAUGACCCACACAAUUCAAACACACCCAAAACUGAACAAUUGAUCUUAGAAGAAACUCCAGCAACUCAGAACUAGGCUAGAAGAUCAGAACCAACUACUGAUACUCGAAAUUGAAAUAGGAAACUGAAUGGAACAUUAUUUUUUUUAAAUCUUUGUAGCUUUUGUAUGUUCACCUGGAAAGUCUAAUGUUCUUCCUCUCAAAAUCAAUCUUGCUGCUCUUUUAAGCUCUCUCAAAACUCUUAAGGUUUCAAAGUGUGGAAGAAUUAAGCUUUAAAAGAUUUCGAGAAAACUUAUCCUCAAACUCUCAAAAUGCUUAAAGAAGAACUCGCUUCGAAUCCCCUCUCUCAAAAAGAUUUUCAGGACUUAUCUCCCUCCCCCUAAAACUGUCUAGGCCUG
Molecule: long non-coding RNA, 988 nt
Filed under: Nicotiana benthamiana
Lineage: Eukaryota; Viridiplantae; Streptophyta; Magnoliopsida; Solanales; Solanaceae
Description: long non-coding RNA (NBEN_LNC039690)
Source: RNAcentral